Molecule: ribosomal RNA, 428 nt
Filed under: uncultured prokaryote
Description: bacterial SSU rRNA
Rfam family: Bacterial small subunit ribosomal RNA
Source: RNAcentral
UGAGGAAUAUUGCGCAAUGGGGGAAACCCUGACGCAGCAACGCCGCGUGGGUGAAGAAGGCCUUCGGGUUGUAAAGCCCUGUCAGGUGGGAAGAAACCUCUGUAGGCGAAUAGUCUACGGAACUGACGGUACCACCAAAGGAAGCACCGGCUAACUCCGUGCCAGCAGCCGCGGUAAGACGGAGGGUGCAAGCGUUGUUCGGAAUUACUGGGCGUAAAGCGCGUGUAGGCGGUCUGAUAAGUCGAGUGUGAAAGCCCGAGGCUCAACUUCGGAAGUGCACUCGAAACUGCCAGGCUUGAGUACGGGAGAGGGAAGUGGAAUUCCUGGUGUAGAGGUGAAAUUCGUAGAUAUCAGGAGGAACACCGGUGGCGAAGGCGGCUUCCUGGACCGAUACUGACGCUGAGACGCGAAAGCGUGGGGAGCAAACA